Molecule: ribosomal RNA, 247 nt
Filed under: uncultured bacterium
Lineage: Bacteria
Description: partial 16S ribosomal RNA
Rfam family: Bacterial small subunit ribosomal RNA
Source: RNAcentral
AUACGUAGGGAGCGAGCGUUGUCCGGAUUUACUGGGUGUAAAGGGUGCGUAGGCGGGACUGCAAGUCAGACGUGAAAUACCGAGGCUUAACCUCGGGGCUGCGUUUGAAACUGGGCGCCUUGGAUGCGGUCGAGGCCGGCGGAAUGCGUGGUGUAGCGGUGAAAUGCUUAGAUAUCACGCAGAACGCCAAUUGCGAAGGCAGCUGGCCGGGCCGCAAUCGACGCUGAGGCACGAAAGCGUGGGGAUC